This is a long non-coding RNA of Myxocyprinus asiaticus (Chinese sucker), 280 nucleotides long. RefSeq lists it as uncharacterized. The record is from RefSeq and is a predicted model, not a curated record. Lineage: Eukaryota; Metazoa; Chordata; Actinopteri; Cypriniformes; Catostomidae. The transcript is spliced from 3 exons.
CUCUUCCUGUCCAGUAAAACAACAACAUCUGAACAGUCACACUGGUGACGCAUUUCGUAGGUGCCUCUGUGAAGUGUCUGCUACACCAAGCCCAUAUCCAGAACUCUCCACCUCACCUACAGCACUUGCAGAGCCCUGCACUUGACACACAGGAGUUUAUAGGUGAGGUAUAAACUUUGGGAUUUACCGGAAUCUCAUCCAGUGAGCCAGACAGGUAUCUCUGCACUUGACUCUUCACUUCCGCCACAUGCAUCUCUGAGAGUAUCCCAUUUGAAGCUCC